Molecule: ribosomal RNA, 655 nt
Filed under: Salmonella enterica
Lineage: Bacteria; Pseudomonadati; Pseudomonadota; Gammaproteobacteria; Enterobacterales; Enterobacteriaceae
Also listed under: 1 other name
Description: partial 23S ribosomal RNA
Rfam family: Bacterial large subunit ribosomal RNA
Source: RNAcentral
GGGUUGUGAGGUUAAGCGACUAAGCGUACACGGUGGAUGCCCUGGCAGUCAGAGGCGAUGAAGGACGUGCUAAUCUGCGAUAAGCGCCGGUAAGGUGAUAUGAACCGUUAUAACCGGCGAUUUCCGAAUGGGGAAACCCAGUGUGACUCGUCACACUAUCAUUAACUGAAUCCAUAGGUUAAUGAGGCGAACCGGGGGAACUGAAACAUCUAAGUACCCCGAGGAAAAGAAAUCAACCGAGAUUCCCCCAGUAGCGGCGAGCGAACGGGGAGGAGCCCAGAGCCUGAAUCAGCAUGUGUGUUAGUGGAAGCGUCUGGAAAGGCGCGCGAUACAGGGUGACAGCCCCGUACACAAAAGCGCAUGUGUUGUGAGCUCGAUGAGUAGGGCGGGACACGUGGUAUCCUGUCUGAAUAUGGGGGGACCAUCCUCCAAGGCUAAAUACUCCUGACUGACCGAUAGUGAACCAGUACCGUGAGGGAAAGGCGAAAAGAACCCCGGCGAGGGGAGUGAAAAAGAACCUGAAACCGUGUACGUACAAGCAGUGGGAGCCCCACCACUAAGCCAGUGGUGAACUCCACAUACGCAUCCUUUGCUGAAGGUGCGGUUAACGGAGCGCAAGCGACGUUCAACCUCAAAAGAAGCAGAGGGGGCUUAG